This 468-nucleotide ribosomal RNA is filed under the name uncultured bacterium. RNAcentral describes it as "partial 16S ribosomal RNA". It matches the Rfam family "Bacterial small subunit ribosomal RNA", at positions 28 to 507 of the family's 1533-position model. The record is from RNAcentral.
GACGAACGCUGGCGGCGUGCUUAACACAUGCAAGUCGAACGGAAAGGCUCUUCUUUUGUGGGGUGCUCGAGUGGCGAACGGGUGAGUAACACGUGAGUAACCUGCCCUUGACUUUGGGAUAACUUCAGGAAACUGGGGCUAAUACCGGAUAGGAGCUCCUGCUGCAUGGUGGGGGUGGGAAAGUUUCGGCGGUUGGGGAUGGACUCGCGGCUUAUCUGCCUGUUGGUGGGGUAGGGGCUUAACAAGGCGUUGACGGGUAGCCGGCCUGAGAGGGUGACCGGCCACAUUGGGACUGAGAUACGGCCCAGACUCCUACGGGAGGCAGCAGUGGGGAAUAUUGCACAAUGGGAGGAAGCCUGAUGCAGCAACGCCGCGUGCGGGAUGACGGCCUUCGGGUUGUAAACCGCUUUCGCCUGUGACGAAGCGUGAGUGACGGUAAUUGGUGAAGAAGCACCGGCUAACUACGUG